GUGCCAGCCGCCGCGGUAAUACCGGCAGCCCGAGUGAUGGCCGAUCUUAUUGGGCCUAAAGCGUCCGUAGCUGGCUGCGCAAGUCCGUCGGGAAAUCCACUCGCUCAACGAGUGGGCGUCCGACGGAAACUGUUCGGCUUGGGGCCGGAGGACCCGAGGGGUACGUCCGGGGUAGGAGUGAAAUCCUGUAAUCCUGGACGGACCACCGAUGGCGAAAGCACUUCGAGAAAACGGAUCCGACAGUGAGGGACGAAAGCUGGGAUCUCGAACCGGAUUAGAUCCCGAGUAGUCC
Molecule: ribosomal RNA, 292 nt
Filed under: uncultured bacterium
Lineage: Bacteria
Description: partial 16S ribosomal RNA
Rfam family: Archaeal small subunit ribosomal RNA
Source: RNAcentral